This is a long non-coding RNA of Danio aesculapii, 470 nucleotides long. RefSeq lists it as uncharacterized. The transcript is spliced from 5 exons. The record is from RefSeq and is a predicted model, not a curated record. NCBI's taxonomy places the organism in Eukaryota, Metazoa, Chordata, Actinopteri, Cypriniformes, Danionidae.
UUGAAAUUAGAAUGAAACUAAGAUUACACUGUUUUAAACAAUGAGACUUAUGGCAUAACAAUGGAAGCCGAUAUCGCUAACCUCACCAACAAUAUUGAAAUGAUCAUUAAAACAGAGAAUCUGGUUGGAAUCCCAUACUGCAGGUUCCUGGGAUGGAAAGGGAAAUCCUGAGUGGACAACAUUUGGCUGCGAGACAGAAAAAAUCAACAGUAACACUAUUAAGUGUUCAUGUUCACAUCUGACGUUCUUUGCUGUCCUGAUGUCUCCGGUCACAGAUGCAAACGAUGUAGCGCCGUAUCUGGAGUCACUGACCCUCAUCUCUUCUAUUGGCUGUGGGAUCUCUGUGUUUUUUCUGGCCAUCGCUCUGUUCAUGCAUUUCCUGCUGCGGAAAGCCAAAUCCAAUCAGGCCACAAAGAUCCUGAUCAACAUGUUCGGUGCUCUGUUUCUCCUGAAUGUGUCUUUUCUGUCAA